UACAGAGGUGGCAAGCGUUGUUCGGAAUUACUGGGCGUAAAGGGCGCGUAGGCGGCCUUCUAAGUCAGACGUGAAAUCCCCAGGCUUAACUUGGGAACUGCGUCUGAUACUGGGAGGCUUGAGUGCGGGAGAGGGAUGUGGAAUUCCAGGUGUAGCGGUGAAAUGCGUAGAUAUCUGGAGGAACACCAAUGGCGAAGGCAGCUCGCUGGGACGUGACUGACGCUGAGACGCGAAAGCGUGGGGAGCAGACAGG
RNAcentral lists this ribosomal RNA (253 nucleotides) under uncultured bacterium. Its description in RNAcentral is "partial 16S ribosomal RNA". It matches the Rfam family "Bacterial small subunit ribosomal RNA", at positions 524 to 776 of the family's 1533-position model. The record is from RNAcentral.